This 82-nucleotide transfer RNA is filed under the name Merluccius polli (Benguela hake). It matches the Rfam family "tRNA". Rfam says of the family: Transfer RNA (tRNA) molecules are approximately 80 nucleotides in length. Lineage: Eukaryota; Metazoa; Chordata; Actinopteri; Gadiformes; Merlucciidae. The record is from Rfam by way of RNAcentral.
GUCAGGAUGUCCGAGCGGUCUAAGGCGCUGCGUUCAGGUCGCAGUCUCCCUGGAGGCGUGGGUUCGAAUCCCACUUCUGACA